GGGCUAAGUGGCCUAAGUAAAGGUGUGACAUUGAAGCUGUUAAGAUGGCGUUUUAGCGCCCUAGCCCA
This 68-nucleotide transfer RNA is filed under the name Ostrea denselamellosa. RNAcentral's name for it is "tRNA-Phe". The record is from RNAcentral. Lineage: Eukaryota; Metazoa; Mollusca; Bivalvia; Ostreida; Ostreidae.